GGUGCGGGGCCGCAAUGGCGGCGUGCGCCUUGGGCGCGCAUCCCAGGAUAUUUCACUGUUCGAUGUGGUGCGCGUGAC
Molecule: transfer RNA, 78 nt
Filed under: Brucella inopinata
Lineage: Bacteria; Pseudomonadati; Pseudomonadota; Alphaproteobacteria; Hyphomicrobiales; Brucellaceae
Description: tRNA-Pro
Source: RNAcentral